AUAACUUCCAAAUGAACAUUACCAAAUACUUCCAGUGGAAAAAUGCUUAUGAUCUUUUGUGAAGUGUUCUGUGUCUCCAUGGCUAGCAACAGGCCUUUGAAACUUGACACCUUCUUGUUGGCUGUUUUGAGAACAAAACAAACAAACAAAAAAAAAAAACGAACAACAAAAAAAAAAAAACCAAAACAAAAAACCCACAAAUGUUCAGACUGUAUGAAUUGUAAGCUAUUUUAAAAUCUUAUUUCUUGUCCUUGGUUCUCAUAUGUUUUGGCAAUAUCUCAGAAUCCUGCAAUAAUCUACAGAGCUUAUGGUUGUCUGUUGUCAGCAUUUACCCUUGGUGUGCUAUAUACUCCAGGUGGGACACACAGAGAAUAACUACCCUUCAACCUGGAAUAUCCUUUUGCUUGCAAGUACUGUCCACUGGGAGCAACAGAAUGAUGGUGCUACACUUCUUUUCCUGUCCAGGAAUAAUAUUUUUUGUCUUAUAAUAGAACUGUGCCUUUACACUGAACAGGCCAAACCAAGACAGAGUAUUGUCUACAAGCUGGGGCAUCAGCCUACGUCUUUGGACAUGAUAGAAAGAAGGAAGAAUUGUGCAAUUAAUUGUUGCUAUGUUUUAAUUGUUCAACACGUCACUUAUUGGAUGAAAUUCUAGCCUAAAAGCAGGAGUGUGAUAUAUAAUGUGACAUAAUGGAUUUUAAUUAUGUUUGGGCCAUACCAUGGCAGACAAAACUGCUAUUAUCCUCAUUGGAAACCAGAUUAAUAGGUAAAAAUUUUCAUGAAUGUUUUUUUUCCCUCUAUGUUCGACGCUUUCAGGUUGUUCUGUGUUUGAAAAUUCUUACCUUAUAGUACAUUAAAUUAUAAAGCCUACAUGCAAAUUUACCUUUGAAGAAUACUAUUUAGGUUACAAAGUGAAGCUCUCUAAAGAAGUCAGGUGGUGCUGAACUUCAAUGUAUCUUUGCAAUAAAAUAGUGAGCAAACUCUUGUAAGAGCUGUGUUUGUUCACAGUCACUGUGUAUCUUCACUGUGCUCCUACCACAGUGCUGCC
This 1048-nucleotide long non-coding RNA is filed under the name Gallus gallus (chicken). RNAcentral's name for it is "lncRNA (ENSGALG00010023691.1)". Lineage: Eukaryota; Metazoa; Chordata; Aves; Galliformes; Phasianidae. The record is from RNAcentral.